Molecule: long non-coding RNA, 464 nt
Organism: Peromyscus leucopus (white-footed mouse)
Lineage: Eukaryota; Metazoa; Chordata; Mammalia; Rodentia; Cricetidae
Exons: 3
Source: RefSeq, a predicted model, not a curated record
CAGUUCAUAGAGGAGAUGAAUGUUGGGAUGAGUUAACGCCCCCUACAGCAAUCAGGAGAGAGUGCCCCCGCCCCAUCCCUUGCCUGGGCAAACCUGAUGGUAGGAGUGUGGAUGAACCAGACUGGAUGGUCUAGACGGUCUGAGAACAGGAGAACUGACUCCCAGCUCCUUGCUGCCUGUGCAGCGGGUGAGCUUGCCAAGUCAGGGCCAGAGAGCUCGCACUGGUGAUGUGGAAGACAGAAAGCUGGCGGGCUAACCAGCCCAGCUCGUACCUGGGCUCAGAACCAGGGCCAUGAGUUGGCCCACCCCAACAUCCACCUCAUCUAUGAAAACUAAAUGUCACAAUGAGAGCUCACUGGGGAUGCUCAGAGGAGCUGAAGUGACAGAUCAGAAAAUGACUCACUGACGCAGUGUCACUGGAGAUGGUGGAGGCUGACCGAGCAGAGCUCCAGAGAACACCGCUG